This 538-nucleotide ribosomal RNA is filed under the name uncultured Geobacter sp. RNAcentral describes it as "bacterial SSU rRNA". It matches the Rfam family "Bacterial small subunit ribosomal RNA", at positions 8 to 524 of the family's 1533-position model. Lineage: Bacteria; Pseudomonadati; Thermodesulfobacteriota; Desulfuromonadia; Geobacterales; Geobacteraceae. RNAcentral also lists the same sequence under 1 other name. The record is from RNAcentral.
AGAGUUUGAUCCUGGCUCAGAACGAACGCUGGCGGCGUGCUUAACACAUGCAAGUCGAACGGGAUCCAGAGCUUGCUCUGGUGAGAGUGGCGCACGGGUGAGUAACGCGUGGAUAACCUGCCCUGGUAUCUGGAAUAACAUCUCGAAAGGGGUGCUAAUACCGGAUAAGCCCACGGCUCCUUCGGGAGCUGCGGGAAAAGGUGGCCUCUAUUUAUAAGCUACCGUAUCAGGAUGGGUCCGCGUACCAUUAGCUAGUUGGUGGGGUAAUGGCCUACCAAGGCGACGAUGGUUAGCUGGUCUGAGAGGAUGAUCAGCCACACUGGAACUGAGACACGGUCCAGACUCCUACGGGAGGCAGCAGUGGGGAAUUUUGCGCAAUGGGGGAAACCCUGACGCAGCAACGCCGCGUGAGUGAUGAAGGCUUUCGGGUCGUAAAGCUCUGUCAGAGGGGAAGAAAUGGGUCUGGCUAAUAUCCAGAUUCCUUGACGGUACCCUCAAAGGAAGCACCGGCUAACUCCGUGCCAGCAGCCGCGGUAAU